RNAcentral lists this ribosomal RNA (217 nucleotides) under uncultured bacterium. Its description in RNAcentral is "partial 16S ribosomal RNA". It matches the Rfam family "Bacterial small subunit ribosomal RNA", at positions 583 to 793 of the family's 1533-position model. The record is from RNAcentral.
UUAAGUCAGAUGUGAAAGACCCGGGGCGUUAACCUCGGAAUUGCAUUUGAAACUAGGCAGGCUAGAGUCUUGUAGAGGGGGGUAGGAAGUUUCAGGUGUAGCGGUGAAAUGCGUAGAGAUCUGAAGGAAUACCAGUGGCGAAGGCGGCCCCCUCGGACAAAGACUGACGCUCAGAUGCGAAAGCGUGGGGAGCAAACAGGAUUAGAUACCCUGGUAG